ACGAAAGAAAAAGAGUGGCGAACGGGUGAGUAACACGUGGGUAACCUGCCCAUCAGAAGGGGAUAACACUUGGAAACAGGUGCUAAUACCGUAUAACACUAUUUUCCGCAUGGAAGAAAGUUGAAAGGCGCUUUUGCGUCACUGAUGGAUGGACCCGCGGUGCAUUAGCUAGUUGGUGAGGUAACGGCUCACCAAGGCAACGAUGCAUAGCCGACCUGAGAGGGUGAUCGGCCACACUGGGACUGAGACACGGCCCAGACUCCUACGGGAGGCAGCAGUAGGGAAUCUUCGGCAAUGGACGAAAGUCUGACCGAGCAACGCCGCGUGAGUGAAGAAGGUUUUCGGAUCGUAAAACUCUGUUGUUAGAGAAGAACAAGGAUGAGAGUARAAYGUUCAUCCCUUGACGGUAUCUAACCAGAAAGCCACGGCUAACUACGUGCCAGCAGCCGCGGUAAUACGUAGGUGGCAAGCGUUGUCCGGAUUUAUUGGGCGUAAAGCGAGCGCAGGCGGUUUCUUAAGUCUGAUGUGAAAGCCCCCGGCUCAACCGGGGAGGGUCAUUGGAAACUGGGAGACUUGAGUGCAGAAGAGGAGAGUGGAAUUCCAUGUGUAGCGGUGAAAUGCGUAGAUAUAUGGAGGAACA
Molecule: ribosomal RNA, 640 nt
Filed under: Enterococcus casseliflavus
Lineage: Bacteria; Bacillati; Bacillota; Bacilli; Lactobacillales; Enterococcaceae
Description: bacterial SSU rRNA
Rfam family: Bacterial small subunit ribosomal RNA
Source: RNAcentral